This 301-nucleotide ribosomal RNA is filed under the name uncultured bacterium. RNAcentral describes it as "partial 16S ribosomal RNA". It matches the Rfam family "Bacterial small subunit ribosomal RNA", at positions 509 to 809 of the family's 1533-position model. The record is from RNAcentral.
CAGCACGCGGGAAUACGUAGGGUGCAAGCGUUAAUCGGAAUUACUGGGCGUAAAGCGUGCGCAGGUGGUUCUAUAAGACAGAUGUGAAAUCCCCGGGCUCAACCUGGGACCUGCAUUUGUGACUGUAUAGCUAGAGUACGGUAGAGGGGGAUGGAAUUCCGCGUGUAGCGGUGAAAUGCGUAGAUAUGCGGAGGAACACCGAUGGCGAAGGCAAUCCCCUGGACCUGUACUGACGCUCAUGCACGAAAGCGUGGGGAGCAAACAGGAUUAGAUACCCCCGUAGUCCCUGUCUCUUAUACAC